This 773-nucleotide ribosomal RNA is filed under the name uncultured Neocallimastigales. RNAcentral's name for it is "partial large subunit ribosomal RNA". It matches the Rfam family "Eukaryotic large subunit ribosomal RNA", at positions 24 to 636 of the family's 3401-position model. The record is from RNAcentral. Lineage: Eukaryota; Fungi; Neocallimastigomycota; Neocallimastigomycetes; Neocallimastigales.
AUGUGAUCGUCUCUCGCAUAUCAAUAAGCGGAGGAAAAGAAACUAACAAGGAUUCCCCUAGUAACGGCGAGUGAAGCGGGAAGAGCUCAAAUUUGAAAUCUUAAAGGGUUUCCCUUUACGAAUUGUAGUUUAAAGAAGUGUUUUCUGUUGAGGUUUUGGUAAAAGUUCUUUGGAAUAGGACAUCAUAGAGGGUGAGAAUCCCGUAUUUGACCUUUACUUUCAACUUUGUGAUACACUUUCAAAGAGUCGGAUUGUUUGGGAAUGCAGUCCAAAAUGGGUGGUAAAUUUCAUCUAAAGCUAAAUAUUGGCGAGAGACCGAUAGCGAACAAGUACCGUGAGGGAAAGAUGAAAAGAACUUUGAAAAGAGAGUUAAACAGUACGUGAAAUUGUCAAAAGGGAAGCGUUUGACACCAGUGUUGUUUUUCUGAAAAUCAAUUAAAGAACUGUUUAUGCUAAGUUGUUUAGACUUUAUCAGCUAUCUGUUUAGUUUUGAGCUUUUCUUUAAUGCACUUUUCAGUUAACAAGUCAACAUCAAUUUCUUUUGCUGUAAAAAAGCUUGAGGAAGGUGGCUUGAGAUUCGUCUUAAGUGUUUAUAGCCUCUUGCCUAUGCAGUCGGAGAGAUUGAGGUCUGCAGCGUAGAUCCUUCGGGGCUAAAUGCAUUUGUGCUAAGUUAUAGCAUUUUAUAGACAACUUGUUGACUAUGAUUUGUCUUGUAGCUUACUCGCUUAUGUUAUUUUACCUACGCUUAGGAUGUUGAUAUGCAUGACUGAUAU